RNAcentral lists this ribosomal RNA (589 nucleotides) under uncultured bacterium. RNAcentral's name for it is "partial 16S ribosomal RNA". It matches the Rfam family "Bacterial small subunit ribosomal RNA", at positions 355 to 1375 of the family's 1533-position model. The record is from RNAcentral.
UGGGGAAUUUUGGACAAUGGGCGAAAGCCUGAUCCAGCAAUGCCGCGUGUGUGAAGAAGGCCUUCGGGUUGUAAAGCACUUUUGUCCGGAAAGAAAUCCUUGGCUCUAAUACAGUCGGGGGAUGACGGUACCGGAAGAAUAAGCACCGGCUAACUACGUGCCAGUAGCCGCGGUAAUACGUAGGGUGCAAGCGUUAAUCGGAAUUACUGGGCGUAAAGCGUGCGCAGGCGGUUUGCUAAGACCGAUGUGAAAUCCCCGGGCUCAACCUGGGAACUGCAUUGGUGACUGGCAGGCUAGAGUAUGGCAGAGGGGGGUAGAAUUCCACGUGUAGCAGUGAAAUGCGUAGAGAUGUGGAGGAAUACCGAUGGCGAAGGCAGCCCCCUGGGCCAAUACUGACGCUCAUGCACGAAAAGCGUGGGGAGCAAAACAGGAUUAGAUACCCUGGUAGUCCACGCCCUAAAACGAUGUCAACUAGUUGUUGGGGAUUCAUUUCCUUAGUAACGUAGCUAACGCGUGAAGUUGACCGCCUGGGGAGUACGGUCGCAAGAUUAAAAACUUAAAGGAAUUGACGGGGUCAUAGCUGUUUCCU